UGGCUCAGGAUGAACGCUAGCGGCAGGCUUAACACAUGCAAGUCGAGGGGCAGCGGGGAGGAAGCUUGCUUUCUCCGCCGGCGACCGGCGCACGGGUGAGUAACACGUAUGCAACCUGCCCCUGUCAGGGGGACAACCCGCCGAAAGGCGGGCUAAACCCGCGUACAUGCCACCGGGGCAUCCCGGAGGCAGGAAAGGCUUCGGCCGGACAGGGAUGGGCAUGCGGCGCAUUAGGCAGUAGGCGGGGUAACGGCCCACCUAACCGACGAUGCGUAGGGGUUCUGAGAGGAAGGUCCCCCACACUGGUACUGAGACACGGACCAGACUCCUACGGGAGGCAGCAGUGAGGAAUAUUGGUCAAUGGUCGGGAGACUGAACCAGCCAAGCCGCGUGAGGGAUGAAGGUACAGAGUAUCGUAAACCUCUUUUGUCAGGGAACAAAGGCGGGGACGUGUCCCCGGAUGAGUGUACCUGAAGAAAAAGCAUCGGCUAACUCCGUGCCAGCAGCCGCGGUAAUACGGAGGAUGCGAGCGUUAUCCGGAUUUAUUGGGUUUAAAGGGUGCGCAGGCGGUCUGUUAAGUCAGCGGUCAAAGCCCGGGGCUCAACCCCGGCCCGCCGUUGAAACUGGCAGUCUCGAGUUGGAGAGAAGUAUGCGGAAUGCGCGGUGUAGCGGUGAAAUGCAUAGAUAUCGCGCAGAACUCCGAUUGCGAAGGCAGCAUGCCGGCUCCACACUGACGCUGAGGCACGAAAGCGUGGGUAUCGAACAGGAUUAGAUACCCUGGUAGUCCACGCAGUAAACGAUGAAUGCUGGCUGUCCGGGGGGACUGACCCCUGGGUGGCGAAGCGAAAGCGAUAAGCAUUCCACCUGGGGAGUACGCCGGCAACGGUGAAACUCAAAGGAAUUGACGGGGGCCCGCACAAGCGGAGGAACAUGUGGUUUAAUUCGAUGAUACGCGAGGAACCUUACCCGGGCCCAAACGGGGAGUGACUCAGGCAGAGACGCCUGUUUCCCACGGGACACUCCCCGAGGUGCUGCAUGGUUGUCGUCAGCUCGUGCCGUGAGGUGUCGGCUUAAGUGCCAUAACGAGCGCAACCCCCGCGUGCAGUUGCUAACAGUCAACGCUGAGGACUCUGCACGGACUGCCGGCGCAAGCCGCGAGGAAGGCGGGGAUGACGUCAAAUCAGCACGGCCCUUACGUCCGGGGCGACACACGUGUUACAAUGGGUGGUACAGCGGGAAGCCAGGCGGCGACGCCGAGCGGAACCCGAAAUCCACUCUCAGUUCGGAUCGGAGUCUGCAACCCGACUCCGUGAAGCUGGAUUCGCUAGUAAUCGCGCAUCAGCCAUGGCGCGGUGAAUACGUUCCCGGGUCUUGUACACACCGCCCGUCAAGCCAUGGGAGCCGAGGGCGCUUGAAGUGCGUCGCCGCGAGGCGCGCCCUAGAGCGAAAUCGGUGACUGGGGCUAAGUCGUAACAAGG
This 1478-nucleotide ribosomal RNA is filed under the name uncultured bacterium. RNAcentral's name for it is "16S ribosomal RNA". It matches the Rfam family "Bacterial small subunit ribosomal RNA". The record is from RNAcentral.